UCCCAGAUAGCCGUACUCAAAAUGGAGGCCCUCUCCGGGCUUUGGGAAGGGAAAGUGCUUCCAUUUUGUGUGCGGCUGUGUGGAG
Molecule: microRNA precursor, 85 nt
Filed under: Mesocricetus auratus (golden hamster)
Lineage: Eukaryota; Metazoa; Chordata; Mammalia; Rodentia; Cricetidae
Description: miRNA (ENSMAUG00000005282.1)
Rfam family: mir-290 microRNA precursor family (bases 10-76)
Source: RNAcentral